Non-coding RNA from Pimephales promelas (fathead minnow), 809 nucleotides. The record is from RefSeq and is a predicted model, not a curated record. NCBI's taxonomy places the organism in Eukaryota, Metazoa, Chordata, Actinopteri, Cypriniformes, Leuciscidae.
GGAUUAUUAGGCCCCGGCUGGCACUCAACGAGCUCUUUAAAUCUGGAGAAGUCCCACUGUUCAGAGACCUGUCAGUACAUUCUCAUCACGCUAGCGGCUUUGCGUAUCAAAGAAGAAACUCUCCAUGUGAGGCGAGUUAGAUGUCCUCAAUAAGCUAAUGCUGAUGAUCACAGAACUGGGAUUAAGCCACCGAAGAGCUGAUGGGAAGGUGGAUGCAGGACAGGGUGAAACUGCUGCUAAACCCUGACUGAUGAUGAGGAGAAGAGCAGGAGCAUACGAGGGAGGAUACCCACCAUCAAACAAGACGCCGAAACCUGCCAUGAUAAUGAAACCUGAGCGCAUAAUGGACCAUUGAAAGAGCCAAUCUGUAUGACAGCAGAAGACGCCUCAGCAGAGAGAUUAGCAUUUCUUUGAUGGAUGGCCUGUGUUCUUCUGUGCUCCAGCCUCGGGCGCUCACAUUAGGACGGAGUGUGAGUUGAUGAACUGUGGAUGAAUAUGAAUAUGAAUAUGCAUGCGCAGUCAGGAUGCCAAGCGUUGACGAGAGCAGAUAUUCCUCUUGAAGUUCCCUGAAGUUCUGCUAGCUGAUCAAUCAUCACGCUAUCAUCGGAGGAGGAAUAACCCACAGAGCUGGAAGAGCUACAGCCUCGCAUGUUCUCCACAUCUGAAAAUUCCCAUUCUGCAGACGAGGAAUAACCAUCACUGUUGCUGGAGGAGGUGCUCAACUCUUUGGGCAGCAGAUCAAGCUCUGGAUCAGAGGAUCCACUGACUGCAAGAGAAGAAGUCGCAUCAGUGUGUGUGUCGAUGCUGGA